RNAcentral lists this ribosomal RNA (253 nucleotides) under uncultured bacterium. Its description in RNAcentral is "partial 16S ribosomal RNA". It matches the Rfam family "Bacterial small subunit ribosomal RNA", at positions 524 to 776 of the family's 1533-position model. The record is from RNAcentral.
UACAGAGGGGGCAAGCGUUGUUCGGAAUUACUGGGCGUAAAGGGCGCGUAGGCGGCCUGUUAAGUCGAACGUGAAAUCCCUGGGCUCAACCCAGGAACUGCGUCCGAUACUGGCAGGCUUGAAUCCGGGAGAGGGAUGUGGAAUUCCAGGUGUAGCGGUGAAAUGCGUAGAUAUCGGAAGGAACAUCAGUGGCGAAGGCGACUUCCUGGACCAAUACUGACGCUCAGGUGCGAAAGCGUGGGGAGCAAACAGG